GAUAUUUGUUGAAAACUAGAAAUGAUGGAUUUGAAGAGUUGACGUGAAAAAGUCAGCAUGGGCAUCUCUAAAUUCUAUUUUCUAAUAACAAAAAAAAAACCCCAAAUCUAUGAAUGUUAUACACAAAAGUAUGGGUGCGCCAGAGCUGUGUAAUCGCAGUGAGUAUGGAUCCAGGCUUUUUAGAUAAAUAUUACAAUACACCACAUACUAGAGUAAGUUCAUACAGCACACACGCACACACACACACACACACACACAUAUACAUACACAUAUAUAUAUAUAUUAUAUGCAGCCUGCAACACGCCGAGCCUUGUGUGCAAUAAGUCAUUAUUACAGUCGACACCGAAUCUGCCCUUUCAAGAAGAGAAAUACCAAAGCAAACUGCAGGCGUUCAAUAAAUUUACGCUUUAUAUAUUGUAUAUUAUAUGUGCAUCUAUUUACUACGCACAAAUUGUGUAAAUUAUCUUCUUUUUUUUUUUUUUAUACUGUACCCAACAAGUAUGGAUAUUAGAAUCAUCGCUGUACCGUAAUUGAACAGCUCAAUUUUAGAGGAAAAUAAUUUCGUCGGUACGUGUAACAUAAACUAAAGCUUAAAAAAUAUUGAGAUCGGAGAAUUUAGUUUUCACUUUUGUUUUCUUCCGAGUAAGAAAAAUAUUCAGACGACAAUCUUGUAGCGGAGUGUCAUUUGUAAUUUUGUCAGUACAAAGUACUAAAUUGUCGAUUAUUUUUGGACAAACUUUAUUACUAUCACUAUUAUUAUUAUUAUUAUUAUUAUAUUAUAAUAUUAUUAUUAUUACUACUACCUUAUUACCUUAUUAGGAAGCACUUACGUCUUUGGGACAUAUAUAUUUUUAUAGCACGCUGUGAUCGGCCGAUAUGUUUGCGGAAGACAUUUCGUAUACAGUUUAAGCUCGGGCCAUUAAUUUAGGAUAUAUAGAUACAUAUAUAUAUAUAUGAGUAUAUAUAAAUAUAUAUAUGUACAUAUAUGUACAUUUUGUUUCAAGCAUAUUUCUUUUUUUUUGUAUUUUUCAAAGUCAUUUCGCUCACGUUUAUUUUGACGUCGUACAGCCGGGAAAUGAAGAAUUAAUAUUAUUUUUUUAUUUUAUUUACAAAUUUUUAUUUAUGUUUCUUAGAAUCUAGCUUACUUUAGGAUAAAAUUCGUGUAACAAUUUUUGGGCGAGGAGCCCCUAAUGUGUAGAUAUUUUUUUUUUUUUUCGAUUCUUUAUCCCGCUUUUCUUUUCCUUUUUUUUUUUUUUUCCUGUGUCUCUCUCUUUUCAGUUGGUUGUAGUUUCUUAAAAGGGCAGAUUAUUCAUAUUAUGUGUUUUUAAUCUUUCUUGUAACGUAUGUGCUGUGUCCGCUCGGGUAUUGGCAGGCUGGCCAGUCAGACCCCUUAAAAAUUUAUACAGACACUAGAAGGCUGUUUUCCUUGCCCCUCCUGUCGAGGGGAUUUAUAUUUCUAAAUUAUGAAUUAUAUAGUUGCUUAGAAAAUGUGUUUUCAUUUUUUAUCCCUCUUUUUUUUUUUGUUUUCUCAA
Molecule: long non-coding RNA, 1532 nt
Organism: Diprion similis
Lineage: Eukaryota; Metazoa; Arthropoda; Insecta; Hymenoptera; Diprionidae
Exons: 3
Source: RefSeq, a predicted model, not a curated record